GCACACACAUACUUCUGCGCUUUCCCUGAAAGUGGAGCAUUAGCAACUGCAGUCAAAAAGCACCCUUGCUUCUUCAGCUCUGAUCCGAGCAGCAUCUGUCUAAUUCUGUCUGGAGGAACUAGGAGACAGCACUGGAGGCAAGUUUAAAAAGGACCUAGUGACACCCUGCUGUCACAUCUGGUGUCAUGAAUCUACUUAUUAGUAGUCCAUUUACAAUUACUUCCCCAGUCCCGUCAGUAGUGUACAUGCUUGAAAACUGCCUGGCUCGGGAGGAAGGAGCACACUGCUGAAGGUUCCAAUCAUUGAGAAAACAAGUGUUUAAAAAUUAACGGAAGAUUGGACACUGUAGUCCUCCAGACAACAUUAAUCUAUCGAUGGCUCUGAAGUGAAGACGUGAUUGAUGCAGUUACAGACAUUGGUGACGUAGGAAGUCAGCUGCAUUUUCACUGAAUUUUUUCAGACAUCCUGCUGGUUUUAUUAAG
This is a long non-coding RNA of Dromaius novaehollandiae (emu), 482 nucleotides long. RefSeq lists it as uncharacterized. NCBI's taxonomy places the organism in Eukaryota, Metazoa, Chordata, Aves, Casuariiformes, Dromaiidae. The record is from RefSeq and is a predicted model, not a curated record. The transcript has 4 exons.